CCUACGGGAGACAGCAGUGAGGAAUAUUGGUCAAUGGACGAGAGUCUGAACCAGCCAAGUAGCGUGAAGGAUGACUGCCCUACGGGUUGUAAACUUCUUUUAUAUGGGAAUAAAACAGGGUAUGCAUACCCUCUUGUAUGUACCAUAUGAAUAAGGAUCGGCUAACUCCGUGCCAGCAGCCGCGGUAAUACGGAGGAUCCGAGCGUUAUCCGGAUUUAUUGGGUUUAAAGGGGGCGUAGGUGGAUUGUUAAGGCAGUUGUGAAAGUUUGCGGCUCAACCGUAAAAUUGCAGUUGAAACUGGCAGUCUUGAGUACAGUAGAGGUAGGCGGAAUUCGUGGUGUAGCGGUGAAAUGCUUAGAUAUCACGAAGAACUCCGAUUGCGAAGGCAGCUUACUGGACUGCAACUGACACUGAUGCACGAAAGCGUGGGUAUCAAACAGGAUUAGAUACCCGAGUAGUC
This 460-nucleotide ribosomal RNA is filed under the name uncultured bacterium. RNAcentral describes it as "partial 16S ribosomal RNA". It matches the Rfam family "Bacterial small subunit ribosomal RNA", at positions 338 to 795 of the family's 1533-position model. The record is from RNAcentral.